AUACAGAGGGUGCAAGCGUUAAUCGGAAUUACUGGGCGUAAAGCGCGCGUAGGCGGUUUAAUCAGUCGGAUGUGAAAGCCCCGGGCUCAACCUGGGAACUGCAUUCGAUACUGUUAAGCUAGAGUAUGGUAGAGGGAAGUGGAAUUCCAGGUGUAGCGGUGAAAUGCGUAGAUAUCUGGAGGAACAUCAGUGGCGAAGGCGACUUCCUGGACCAAUACUGACGCUGCGGUGCGAAAGCGUGGGGAGCAAACAGGAUUAGAAACCCUAGUAGUCC
RNAcentral lists this ribosomal RNA (274 nucleotides) under uncultured bacterium. Its description in RNAcentral is "partial 16S ribosomal RNA". It matches the Rfam family "Bacterial small subunit ribosomal RNA", at positions 523 to 796 of the family's 1533-position model. The record is from RNAcentral.